AUUACUUUGACAGAUAAGUGUAUUAAAUUUAGAAUUUAAAAAUAAACUAAUAGUUUAAGUAAUA
This 64-nucleotide transfer RNA is filed under the name Philotrypesis pilosa. RNAcentral describes it as "tRNA-Leu". Lineage: Eukaryota; Metazoa; Arthropoda; Insecta; Hymenoptera; Pteromalidae. The record is from RNAcentral.